RNAcentral lists this unclassified non-coding RNA (237 nucleotides) under plant metagenome. RNAcentral describes it as "partial contains small subunit ribosomal RNA, internal transcribed spacer 1, and 5.8S ribosomal RNA". The record is from RNAcentral.
UUUCCGUAGGUGAACCUGCGGAAGGAUCAUUAAAAAAAGAGAAACGUCCCGUUCUUUUUCAUAAGAAUGGGUUCUAUUCCCUUAAACCGUGUCUACAUACCUUUGUUGCUUUGGCAGGCCGCCUUCGGGCGUCGGCUCCGGCUGAUAGUGCCUGCCAGAGGACCCAAACUCUAUGUUUAGUGAUGUCUGAGUACUAUAUAAUAUUUAAAACUUUCAACAACGGAUCUCUUGGUUCUG